GCUGGCGGCGUGCCUAAUACAUGCAAGUCGAACGAACUCUGGUAUUGAUUGGUGCUUGCAUCAUGAUUUACAUUUGAGUGAGUGGCGAACUGGUGAGUAACACGUGGGAAACCUGCCCAGAAGCGGGGGAUAACACCUGGAAACAGAUGCUAAUACCGCAUAACAACUUGGACCGCAUGGUCCGAGCUUGAAAGAUGGCUUCGGCUAUCACUUUUGGAUGGUCCCGCGGCGUAUUAGCUAGAUGGUGGGGUAACGGCUCACCAUGGCAAUGAUACGUAGCCGACCUGAGAGGGUAAUCGGCCACAUUGGGACUGAGACACGGCCCAAACUCCUACGGGAGGCAGCAGUAGGGAAUCUUCCACAAUGGACGAAAGUCUGAUGGAGCAACGCCGCGUGAGUGAAGAAGGGUUUCGGCUCGUAAAACUCUGUUGUUAAAGAAGAACAUAUCUGAGAGUAACUGUUCAGGUAUUGACGGUAUUUAACCAGAAAGCCACGGCUAACUACGUGCCAGCAGCCGCGGUAAUACGUAGGUGGCAAGCGUUGUCCGGAUUUAUUGGGCGUAAAGCGAGCGCAGGCGGUUUUUUAAGUCUGAUGUGAAAGCCUUCGGCUCAACCGAAGAAGUGCAUCGGAAACUGGGAAACUUGAGUGCAGAAGAGGACAGUGGAACUCCAUGUGUAGCGGUGAAAUGCGUAGAUAUAUGGAAGAACACCAGUGGCGAAGGCGGCUGUCUGGUCUGUAACUGACGCUGAGGCUCGAAAGUAUGGGUAGCAAACAGGAUUAGAUACCCUGGUAGUCCAUACCGUAAACGAUGAAUGCUAAGUGUUGGAGGGUUUCCGCCCUUCAGUGCUGCAGCUAACGCAUUAAGCAUUCCGCCUGGGGAGUACGGCCGCAAGGCUGAAACUCAAAGGAAUUGACGGGGGCCCGCACAAGCGGUGGAGCAUGUGGUUUAAUUCGAAGCUACGCGAAGAACCUUACCAGGUCUUGACAUACUAUGCAAAUCUAAGAGAUUAGACGUUCCCUUCGGGGACAUGGAUACAGGUGGUGCAUGGUUGUCGUCAGCUCGUGUCGUGAGAUGUUGGGUUAAGUCCCGCAACGAGCGCAACCCUUAUUAUCAGUUGCCAGCAUUAAGUUGGGCACUCUGGUGAGACUGCCGGUGACAAACCGGAGGAAGGUGGGGAUGACGUCAAAUCAUCAUGCCCCUUAUGACCUGGGCUACACACGUGCUACAAUGGAUGGUACAACGAGUUGCGAACUCGCGAGAGUAAGCUAAUCUCUUAAAGCCAUUCUCAGUUCGGAUUGUAGGCUGCAACUCGCCUACAUGAAGUCGGAAUCGCUAGUAAUCGCGGAUCAGCAUGCCGCGGUGAAUACGUUCCCGGGCCUUGUACACACCGCCCGUCACACCAUGAGAGUUUGUAACACCCAAAGUCGGUGGGGUAACCUUUUAGGAACCAGCCGCCUAAGGUGGGAC
Molecule: ribosomal RNA, 1468 nt
Filed under: Lactiplantibacillus plantarum
Lineage: Bacteria; Bacillati; Bacillota; Bacilli; Lactobacillales; Lactobacillaceae
Description: Lactobacillus plantarum 16S ribosomal RNA
Rfam family: Bacterial small subunit ribosomal RNA
Source: RNAcentral